This 1399-nucleotide ribosomal RNA is filed under the name Vibrio vulnificus. RNAcentral's name for it is "partial 23S ribosomal RNA". It matches the Rfam family "Bacterial large subunit ribosomal RNA", at positions 1568 to 2925 of the family's 2925-position model. Lineage: Bacteria; Pseudomonadati; Pseudomonadota; Gammaproteobacteria; Vibrionales; Vibrionaceae. The record is from RNAcentral.
GUCGAGCUACUACGGUAGUGAAGUCAUUGAUGCCAUGCUUCCAGGAAAAGCCUCUAAGCUUCAGAUUGUAAGGAAUCGUACCCCAAACCGACACAGGUGGUCGGGUAGAGAAUACCAAGGCGCUUGAGAGAACUCGGGUGAAGGAACUAGGCAAAAUGGUACCGUAACUUCGGGAGAAGGUACGCUCUUGAUGGUGAAGUCCCUUGCGGAUGGAGCUGACGAGAGUCGCAGAUACCAGGUGGCUGCAACUGUUUAUUAAAAACACAGCACUGUGCAAAAUCGUAAGAUGACGUAUACGGUGUGACGCCUGCCCGGUGCCGGAAGGUUAAUUGAUGGGGUUAGCGUAAGCGAAGCUCUUGAUCGAAGCCCCGGUAAACGGCGGCCGUAACUAUAACGGUCCUAAGGUAGCGAAAUUCCUUGUCGGGUAAGUUCCGACCUGCACGAAUGGCGUAAUGAUGGCCACGCUGUCUCCACCCGAGACUCAGUGAAAUUGAAAUCGCUGUGAAGAUGCAGUGUACCCGCGGCUAGACGGAAAGACCCCGUGAACCUUUACUACAGCUUGGCACUGAACAUUGAACCUACAUGUGUAGGAUAGGUGGGAGGCUUUGAAGACGUGACGCCAGUUGCGUUGGAGCCGUCCUUGAAAUACCACCCUUGUAUGUUUGAUGUUCUAACGUUGGCCCCUAAUCGGGGUUGCGGACAGUGCCUGGUGGGUAGUUUGACUGGGGCGGUCUCCUCCCAAAGAGUAACGGAGGAGCACGAAGGUGGGCUAAUCACGGUUGGACAUCGUGAGGUUAGUGCAAUGGCAUAAGCCCGCUUAACUGCGAGAAUGACGGUUCGAGCAGGUGCGAAAGCAGGUCAUAGUGAUCCGGUGGUUCUGAAUGGAAGGGCCAUCGCUCAACGGAUAAAAGGUACUCCGGGGAUAACAGGCUGAUACCGCCCAAGAGUUCAUAUCGACGGCGGUGUUUGGCACCUCGAUGUCGGCUCAUCACAUCCUGGGGCUGAAGUCGGUCCCAAGGGUAUGGCUGUUCGCCAUUUAAAGUGGUACGCGAGCUGGGUUUAGAACGUCGUGAGACAGUUCGGUCCCUAUCUGCCGUGGGCGUUGGAAGAUUGAAGGGGGCUGCUCCUAGUACGAGAGGACCGGAGUGGACGAACCUCUGGUGUUCGGGUUGUGUCGCCAGACGCAUUGCCCGGUAGCUAAGUUCGGAAUCGAUAACCGCUGAAAGCAUCUAAGCGGGAAGCGAGCCCUGAGAUGAGUCUUCCCUGAUACUUUAAGUAUCCUGAAGGGUUGUUCGAGACUAGAACGUUGAUAGGCAGGGUGUGUAAGCGCUGUGAGGCGUUGAGCUAACCUGUACUAAUUGCCCGUGAGGCUUAACCAUACAACACCCAAAGGGUUUUG